GGAUUUUUGUCCAACGCUGGUUUCCGUUUCUGCGGUGUUGCGCUGAUUAGCUUAGCCUACAAAAAUAAAAUAAAAAACGAAUUAACCCGAAAUCAACAUUAAUCAUGAAUGAACAUAUGAAAGAUUGACUGAUAUAAAAAUCAAGUUUCACACGGAAAACAUUACACUGAUGCUUACUGUGUAAACAUGACAGAAGUUCAAAGUGUCUCCUGGGAUGGAUGAGUUUCGUUCCUGGUCGCGAUGAGUAGCCAUUUACCGCCCGAUCUGUGCUCCUUAAGACUUUCUCUCUUCCUGUCUCCUGAAACCGAAUUUGCCUCAUUUCAGUCACCUCAAAGCAGACUUGCCCGGCUGAGGAACACAUACCUUAGAUACUGAACAUCCAAUACGUCGGAGUGAUCUUUAAGCAAGACAACUCGGACCAGUGGAGAGUUACUGCAGGAGAUGGACAAAUUAGCCCACACCUCCAUUCCUGAGCAGGGCUAUUGUAUAUCGCCGCAGUCUCUUUGCUGGAGUGGAGGGACAUGCACAAUGAGCCCAACUUUAUUGCCAAGUCUCCCUCGUCCCGCUUUAAAAGCGAAUACGCCCUGCUGUUUUGGGGGAGAUUUCGAGAUCGGCCGUAAUUGCUCUUGAUAAACUUUCAUUUUAAGUCCACCUAUAGUUGCAUAGGUUAGGCCAGGCUUUUGAGUCUUGAGAAUUAAUUGAAGGCCAAACGCAUUAAUUAAAAAUAAAUCAACAAAUGUACCAAAC
Molecule: long non-coding RNA, 747 nt
Organism: Misgurnus anguillicaudatus (oriental weatherfish)
Lineage: Eukaryota; Metazoa; Chordata; Actinopteri; Cypriniformes; Cobitidae
Source: RefSeq, a predicted model, not a curated record